This 222-nucleotide ribosomal RNA is filed under the name uncultured bacterium. RNAcentral describes it as "partial 16S ribosomal RNA". It matches the Rfam family "Bacterial small subunit ribosomal RNA", at positions 57 to 305 of the family's 1533-position model. The record is from RNAcentral.
GCAAGUCGAGCGCUUCCCUUCGGGGAGGAGCGGCGGACGGGUUAGUAACGCGUGGGAACAUACCUUUCUCUACGGAAUAGCCAUUGGAAACGAUGAGUAAUACCGUAUACGCCCUUCGGGGGAAAGAUUUAUCGGAGAAAGAUUGGCCCGCGUUAGAUUAGAUAGUUGGUGGGGUAAUGGCCUACCAAGUCUACGAUCUAUAGCUGGUUUUAGAGGAUGAUC